UCUGAAGUGAUAAAAAUGAAAAUCACACUACCAUUUGAAGUCCAUUCUCCAGGUUUUCAGUGUCAUUUCUGUGCAGUCAGUUUUAUGUGUCACACUUCGGCUUGUGUUGGCUUUCUUCUUUUGCCCCAGAUUAAACUGAACAAUGUAUAUAUAUAUAACACUAUCUGUCUGUAAAAUACUUUUUUUAAGAAAGCAUUUAUAUUUAUAUGACAGCUUGAACUGACAACAUUAUGUAUAUAGAUCAUCUUGAAGUAUUAUUUCACAUUGAAAAGAAGAAAAAUAUAUUGAUAACUAUAGAUGUUAUGAAGAAGAGGCUAUUUCUAGUUUUGUACUAAAAAUCAAUUGGAUGAACUAAAUCCAAAACCAGACACUGUCGCAGCAAUUUUCAGUCUUAUUUUUACUGUUUCUACAUUGGAGGCUGCUGCACAGAUAGAUGAUCUUCGUCCUUGCUGUUUUCAGAGGAGCUUGGUUUCCUAGAGCAGACUGUUACCUUUCAGGAUUCCUUUUUCUUGCUGAAGUAGAGUCCUGGUUUUCCUUAUGAGUGAUUAUCCAUAUUUGUAAGUUCUGGGUUUGUAAUUCAGGUUGGAGCAAGGUGUGAAUAACUAAAGAAAAUAACUUGCUGGCAAUAUAGGAAAUGCCAUGGAAAUAAACUGUGUAUAUACUUCUGAGAAGAACAAAAUUAAUCAUUUUUUUUUUCUGUUAAGCACUAGUCACUAUAGUGCAUCUCCUGGUUCUGUACUGUAUUUUAUACGCAACGUACAUGCUUUAAUAUUUUAAUGUUUGUGCAUUAAUAUUUUCAGUUUGUUUAACCACUUUGCUGCUAAGAUUUUGCCAUCCCGUUCCCAUUUUUUCCUUUACAAUUUUAAACAUUUCUCUUCAUUAAAAACUAUGAUAAUGAAAUUGUUUUUUUUUUAACCUUGGAUUUUUGUAAUUAGCACACAUGAAUUCAAGCCAGUCCAGAAAAGAAACUGAUGAUAUAAUGUUAAUGAGUCUCUUUGUGAAUUAGAUGGACAGUUUAAUCCAAUUCCCAACAUGUACGUGUAGGUGGAUUCAAGAAUGAUUUCUUGUUCACUGUACAGAUUGGGCGCUGCCAUUGGGCAUUUUCUUUAAAACUUCUCUUUUGUCUAGAAUGUAAGCAGAUAGCUCAACAAAACUGGUGAAGUAAAAGUAAAUAUUGAAAAUGAAAUCAUCUGAAUAGCGUGACCCAAAAAUUCUCCAGCUGGGGGGCCUGUUUGCUCCUGAUCUGUAGUUCUCAGAGGAUGCUUGCAGCCUGUGGGGAAGCCUUAGAUUUCCUGAGCAGUGCUUGCGGAGCUGCAGUGCCACCUGCUGGAUGGCUUUAGACCAGCGCUGAAAGAUGGAAAUGGUGUCUCCAGUAAAGGAGGGCUGUGGGCUGUUCAGGGUGGCCAGUGCCCACCAGAGAAAUCGGGGGUGAGGAAAAGCGCUAAGGAGUGUAAGUAAGUCUUUCCCCAAAUGCAUAUGGUUGCUGGAAGAAUUGAAGCACUUUUUCCUUACACAUCCUGUUUUAAAAUAUUUAUUGAAACUUGGAACUGGCAAUCAAACUUAUGUAUGUACUGAAGCAUUUAUACAACCAGUUUCUUCAACUCAGAAGCCAUUACCAAAAUGGUAUUCCUAUUUUCUUCCCAGUACCAGUCAGGGAGAAUUAAAAAAAAAAUAAACAUAAUUACCUGUAUUUUAUCAUGACAACUCCAGAGAGUGUGUAUGUUUCUGAGUAGAUGUUGAUGAGGCAGGACUUAAAAUUUAAAGAGAAAAACUUGAAACUACCUAUUUUCAUUGGUUAUUCAGCAGUGCCUAAAAUGAGCUUCUGAACUAUUACAAAUGCACUUUGGAUUCAUGUGUACAGUGCCAUCUGGUUCUCUGGGUCAAACUUGCUUCUCCUCUCCCUCUUUCUUCUCCCGUAACUAAGUGGCACACAGGCAUUUCUUAGUGUUCGUGUCGGUCUUCAAAGUGCAGAGAACGUGGUGGAGAGAAUUUUAUGGAUCUUUUUUUUCUGUUAAAAUUGAAUGUCUGAUUAUAUUUGCAACAUGUAACUUGGAUUAAUGUGUUUUAAAGUAAUUUUAAUUGUAGUCCAGCAGCACAUUGAGCAAGUGUAGCUUUUCUGAAAAGUAACUUGGAGAACUUCAGUUAACCGAUAAAACCAACUCAUCAC
This 2167-nucleotide long non-coding RNA is filed under the name Mus musculus (house mouse). RNAcentral's name for it is "long non-coding RNA chr2:117179384-117181551". Lineage: Eukaryota; Metazoa; Chordata; Mammalia; Rodentia; Muridae. The record is from RNAcentral.